GGCCUAUUCUUGAUUACUUGUUU
This 23-nucleotide microRNA is filed under the name Anolis carolinensis (green anole). RNAcentral describes it as "aca-miR-26-3p". Its record names the gene aca-miR-26-3p. The record is from miRBase by way of RNAcentral. Lineage: Eukaryota; Metazoa; Chordata; Lepidosauria; Squamata; Anolidae.